UGAGUAACACGUAUCCAACCUGCCGUCUACUCUUGGACAGCCUUCUGAAAGGAAGAUUAAUACAAGAUGGCAUCAUGAGUCCGCAUGUUCACAUGAUUAAAGGUAUUCCGGUAGACGAUGGGGAUGCGUUCCAUUAGAUAGUGGGCGGGGUAACGGCCCACCUAGUCUUCGAUGGAUAGGGGUUCUGAGAGGAAGGUCCCCCACAUUGGAACUGAGACACGGUCCAA
This 227-nucleotide ribosomal RNA is filed under the name uncultured bacterium. RNAcentral's name for it is "partial 16S ribosomal RNA". It matches the Rfam family "Bacterial small subunit ribosomal RNA", at positions 107 to 334 of the family's 1533-position model. The record is from RNAcentral.